RNAcentral lists this transfer RNA (76 nucleotides) under Planctomycetota bacterium. Its description in RNAcentral is "Planctomycetes bacterium (groundwater metagenome) tRNA-Thr". It matches the Rfam family "tRNA". From Rfam's summary of the family: Transfer RNA (tRNA) molecules are approximately 80 nucleotides in length. Their secondary structure includes four short double-helical elements and three loops (D, anti-codon, and T loops). The record is from RNAcentral. Lineage: Bacteria; Pseudomonadati; Planctomycetota.
GCCGGUGUAGCUCAGAUGGCAGAGCAGGGCACUUGUAAUGCCAAGGUCGGGGGUUCGAUGCCCUCCACCGGCUCCA